CUAAAAACGACAGUCUCAGUUCGGAUCGCAGGCUGCAACUCGCCUGCGUGAAGUUGGAAUUGCUAGUAAUCGCGGAUCAGCAUGCCGCGGUGAAUACGUUCCCGGGCCUUGUACACACCCGCCCGUCACACCAUGGGAGUUUGUAACACCCGAAGUCAGUAUCCUAACCGCAAGGGGGGAGCUGCCGAAGGUGGGAUAAGCGACUGGGGUGAAGUCGUAACAAGGUAGC
RNAcentral lists this ribosomal RNA (229 nucleotides) under uncultured bacterium. RNAcentral describes it as "partial 16S ribosomal RNA". It matches the Rfam family "Bacterial small subunit ribosomal RNA", at positions 1273 to 1500 of the family's 1533-position model. The record is from RNAcentral.